RNAcentral lists this ribosomal RNA (441 nucleotides) under uncultured bacterium. Its description in RNAcentral is "bacterial SSU rRNA". It matches the Rfam family "Bacterial small subunit ribosomal RNA", at positions 340 to 774 of the family's 1533-position model. The record is from RNAcentral.
UACGGAAGGCAGCAGUGGGGAAUAUUGCACAAUGGGCGCAAGCCUGAUGCAGCCAUGCCGCGUGUAUGAAGAAGGCCUUCGGGUUGUAAAGUACUUUCAGUCGUGAGGAAGGUGUUAAGGUUAAUAACCUUAGCAAUUGACGUUAGCGACAGAAGAAGCACCGGCUAACUCCGUGCCAGCAGCCGCGGUAAUACGGAGGGUGCGAGCGUUAAUCGGAAUUACUGGGCGUAAAGGGCACGCAGGCGGUUAAUUAAGUUGGAUGUGAAAUCCCCGGGCUUAACCUGGGAAUGGCAUUCAAGACUGGUUAGCUAGAGUCUUGUAGAGGGGGUUAGAAUUCCAUGUGUAGCGGUGAAAUGCGUAGAGAUGUGGAGGAAUACCGGUGGCGAAGGCGGCCCCUGGACAAAGGCUGACGCUCAUGUGCGAAAGCGUGGGGAGCAAACG